This 296-nucleotide non-coding RNA is filed under the name Flagellimonas lutaonensis. Lineage: Bacteria; Pseudomonadati; Bacteroidota; Flavobacteriia; Flavobacteriales; Flavobacteriaceae. The record is from RNAcentral.
ACAUUCGCUGCGAAUUUUGGUUUUCAUGGAUUUUGCGCCAUGGAAUGAAAAGGGAAUCCGGUGAGUUGAAGUACCCAUUACGAAUUUAGAAUUACGAAUUGUAAAAUUGUUGCGACUCGUAUUUUGUACCUCUAAAAUCGUACCUCAAUAAUUCCGGAGCUGUUCCCGCAACUGUAAACUUUGUCCGCCUUUGGCGGAUGCUUGCAACAACUUCAAGACCACUGUUCUUCACUAUGGGACGGGAAGGUGGUUUGCAAGACGUGAGCCAGGAGACCUGCCAAAAUUUUCAUCCGCCU